Molecule: non-coding RNA, 382 nt
Organism: Schizosaccharomyces pombe (fission yeast)
Lineage: Eukaryota; Fungi; Ascomycota; Schizosaccharomycetes; Schizosaccharomycetales; Schizosaccharomycetaceae
Source: the annotation of a GenBank genome assembly
GAAAUACACGCAAUUGAUCAUUAGCAGUAUUGCCAAACAAUAUACACUAAAAGCCUAUGUGGUAGGUUGCCUAGUUGCCUAUUAAAGACUUACAUAUUCUUACUAUUCUAAUGUAUAUCACCUAUGUUUCUGGAGAUGAGAGGAAUUGUUGUGUGUGCAAAACCUACGAUGGCAAAUGAUUCAAUUAAGGGUUUUCAUGUGAUAUUGUUCUUAGCAAAGCUGCUUCUUAAGAUUGAUUAAAUUAAUACAUAAAGUAGUAAAUCUAAGAGCAACUGAAAAGAUUUCAUAUAGUAAUUAAAAAGAAGGUAGCCGUAGGCAAGAUUGUGCAAAGAUUAGUAACGAUUUCCCUUAGGAAAUGCUGGAAUUCAAAAAGAAGAGAUAA